Long non-coding RNA from Octopus bimaculoides (California two-spot octopus), 1817 nucleotides. RefSeq lists it as uncharacterized. NCBI's taxonomy places the organism in Eukaryota, Metazoa, Mollusca, Cephalopoda, Octopoda, Octopodidae. The record is from RefSeq and is a predicted model, not a curated record.
UCUCCAUUGGCCAGCUCCAUGUCAAACCUUCCGACUCAUACCAGCAUGAAAAGCAGAUGUUAAACAAUGAUGAUGUAUGUUUCUCUCUUUGUCUAUCUGUCUGUAUGUCUCUCUAUCUCUGUCCUUCUCUCUCUCUCUCUUUUUCUUUCAUUCUUACUUUCUCUUACACUCUCUCUUUCUCUUUCACAGUCUAAUAAGCUCUGUCCUUCUUGUGGCUCAAGAGUGCGGCGAUGUCACCUUACCCAGGUGUACUACUAAAAGGAUUCUGCUGAUAGGAACAUCAACAUGUUUUGUACUUGAAAUGCUGCAACAUUUCUAUCAAGAAUUGAUCUCAAGAACUGUAGGUGUUCAUUUGGACAUUCCUAUCUCCAUCCUCAUUCUAAGGACUCCUGCUUAAUAGGACUGCACACACACACACACACACAAUUUUCAUGACGCAUUGUCUGAGAUUAUAUAUUUAUGUGUAUAUGUGUAUAUAUAUAUAUAUAUAUAUAUAUAUGUAUAUGUGUAUAUAUGUAUGUGUAUAUAUGUAUAUGUAUAUAUGUGUAUAUAUGUAUAUAUAUGUGUAUAUAUAUGUAUAUAUAUAUAUAUGAAUGUUUUUAAUUAUUUGUUUUCUAUUGUUUUUUAUUUAACCAAAAACAAUGUGAGUUAUAAAAAAUAAUGCAGGUUGAUGGUUGUUGUGAGCCGACUUUGUUCUGUAGAGAGAGAACAGAGAAGGUCAGUGCCCAACACCGUUUCUUGGGAAAUUUUCCCAAAGAAAUAUUGAAAAUACAAGAUGAUAGUAUUAACCAUCAACCUGCAUUUUUUUUUUUUGCUUUGUAAAAAAAAAAUAAUUACAAAAAUUUAAGUUAUGCUAAUUGAAAACACAUGAAAAUAAUUUAUUUGACUACCCAAUACACACACACACACACACACACACACACACACACAUAUAUAUAUAUAUAUACAUAUAUAUAUAUAUGGGAGAAUUUAUGAAAAAAAACAACAACAGACGAGGACAGGUGGUGUAAACAACAAAAGGAUGUAUUAGUAUAACGCUCGGGAAUACAGAAAGUCUUUAACGUUUCGAGCUACGCUCUUCAACAGAAAGAAUACGGAGAAAACAUGGAGAAAAACAUGGAGAGAAAAAAAAGUGGGGGAAAACACGGAGAAAAAAUAUAUAUAUAUUGACAUUUAUACACGUGUGUGUGUAUAUGUAUGUUUAUGUAUUUGUUUUGCAAGAUUUUUUAUGUGAAAUCAUGUGUUGAAACAGAUAUUGUUACACUUGAAGAUAGUCCUAUUUUCCUGUUUUGCUAAUUAAACACACCCCCCAUAUAUAUUUAGUUUUCACUUCAGCCUUCUUCUUCUUAUUGUUAUUAUUAUCUUAGUUUCUUUGUCCAAGUUCUUUCCUCACACAUUCUGUGACUUCUUCAGCUACACUCCAACCCUCCCUUAAAAUGAUAAUAAAGCUGAAGUGAAGACCAGAUAUAUAUAGUGCAUAUGUUUGUUUGAUUGGCAAAAUAUGACCAUCACCAAGUAUAACUAUAUAUAUGUAUGUAUGUAUGUAUAUAUCUGUAUGCUAUGAACAUGCCCUCUCACAUCUCUGUACAGACACUUUUCGGACACCUCCCCUUCCAUUGAGGAGCUGGCAGAACAAUUAGCACAUCAGACGAAAUGCUUUUUAAGGCUUUUCUUUCUGGCUCUGUAGGUUCCGAGAUCAAUCUCCACCAUGGUCAAUGUAAUCAACGAACUCCCACUCUCCUAAAAUUGCUAGCUUUGUGCCAAAAUUGAGAGGAAAGAGAAAAAAUUUUCGUAAAUAAAGUUUUUUUUAUAAUGUA